Homo sapiens (human) is the source of this 3736-nucleotide RNA transcript. It is a transcript of the gene named twinkle mtDNA helicase, with no coding region annotated. The record is from RefSeq and is marked reviewed. The transcript has 5 exons. NCBI's taxonomy places the organism in Eukaryota, Metazoa, Chordata, Mammalia, Primates, Hominidae.
GCUUCCGAGGUCAAGGCGAGUAGCAUGUGCGGGAGACUCACGUUGCCGGCGAAGUGGGAGAGAGAAAAGUGGUAACCUGGGGCUGGGGGCCGGCGCGGCGGAGCUCGGAGUAGUAGAGCGGAGUGAAGACACGGGGGAGGAUAGAGACUGGCAUUCCUUUGGGCCGGGGGAUUGGCGGGAGUCGUGCUGGGUGCUCUCGCCGUGUUGAGGUCCCAGUGAGGGGAAGGAGAAGCGGAAGAGGGUCUCUAGUCGGGGCCUAGGGCAAAGGGACUACAAAAAGGAUGCAGAUGACUAUAGAAAUGAGGACGACGAGGAGAUGCUGUGGAGGAGCAGUAGAGGUGAGAAGAUGAUGCAAAGAAACUGUGUCAGUGAGGAACUGUAUAGAGGGUCAUAGAGGUGAGGUGGCGGAGAGAAACUAACUAACGGACCAUAGAGGUGGGGGAGCCAUUGUAGAAGGACGUGGACGCGAAAGGGUCGUGUAGAUGGGCAUAUGUGUGAAGCAGCAACGUAGAGGGGCUGAAGAGGAGAAAUUCAUGGAGAGAAAGAAUGCACCUAGAGUGAGCUCUGCAGAGUGCUGCGUGGGAUAUCCCUAGAGUUUGGUCUAGUGAAGGCACGCUAACCAGGCACCUAAGGCAUUUCAAGUAGUGACUUCCCACAUUUGGCUAGGAAUGUGGGUCCUCCUCCGAAGUGGGUACCCCCUCCGUAUCUUGUUACCCCUGCGUGGGGAGUGGAUGGGUCGGAGGGGCCUGCCCCGAAACUUGGCCCCAGGCCCUCCUCGCAGACGUUACAGGAAGGAGACUCUCCAAGCCUUGGAUAUGCCAGUGUUGCCUGUAACUGCAACUGAAAUCCGCCAGUAUUUGCGGGGGCAUGGGAUCCCCUUCCAGGAUGGUCACAGUUGCCUGCGGGCACUGAGCCCCUUUGCAGAGUCUUCACAGCUCAAAGGCCAGACUGGUGUUACCACUUCCUUCAGCCUCUUCAUUGACAAGACCACAGGCCACUUUCUCUGCAUGACCAGCCUAGCAGAAGGGAGCUGGGAAGACUUCCAGGCCAGCGUGGAGGGGCGAGGGGAUGGGGCCAGGGAGGGGUUUCUGCUUAGCAAGGCACCAGAAUUUGAGGACAGCGAGGAGGUCCGGAGGAUCUGGAACCGAGCAAUACCUCUCUGGGAGCUGCCUGAUCAGGAGGAGGUUCAGCUGGCUGAUACAAUGUUUGGCCUUACCAAGGUUACAGAUGACACACUCAAGCGUUUCAGUGUGCGAUAUCUGCGACCUGCUCGCAGUCUUGUCUUCCCUUGGUUCUCCCCUGGGGGCUCAGGAUUACGAGGCCUGAAGCUCCUAGAGGCUAAAUGCCAGGGGGAUGGAGUGAGCUACGAGGAAACCACUAUUCCCCGACCCAGCGCCUACCACAAUCUGUUUGGAUUACCACUGAUUAGUCGUCGAGAUGCUGAGGUGGUACUGACGAGUCGUGAGCUUGACAGCCUGGCCUUGAACCAGUCCACGGGGCUGCCUACCCUUACUCUACCCCGAGGAACGACCUGCUUACCCCCUGCCUUACUCCCUUACCUGGAACAGUUCCGGCGGAUUGUAUUCUGGUUGGGGGAUGACCUUCGGUCCUGGGAAGCCGCCAAGUUGUUUGCACGAAAACUGAACCCCAAACGAUGCUUCUUGGUGCGACCAGGAGACCAGCAACCCCGUCCCCUGGAGGCCCUGAACGGAGGCUUCAAUCUUUCUCGUAUUCUUCGUACCGCCCUGCCUGCCUGGCACAAGUCCAUCGUAUCUUUCCGGCAGCUUCGGGAGGAGGUGCUAGGAGAACUGUCAAAUGUGGAGCAAGCAGCUGGCCUCCGCUGGAGCCGCUUUCCAGACCUCAAUCGUAUCUUGAAGGGACAUCGAAAGGGCGAGCUGACGGUCUUCACAGGGCCAACAGGCAGUGGAAAGACGACAUUCAUCAGUGAGUAUGCCCUGGAUUUGUGUUCCCAGGGGGUGAACACACUGUGGGGUAGCUUCGAGAUCAGCAAUGUGAGACUAGCCCGGGUCAUGCUGACACAGUUUGCCGAGGGGCGGCUGGAAGAUCAACUGGACAAAUAUGAUCACUGGGCUGACCGCUUUGAGGACCUGCCCCUCUAUUUCAUGACUUUCCAUGGACAGCAAAGCAUCAGGACUGUAAUAGAUACAAUGCAACAUGCAGUCUACGUCUAUGACAUUUGUCAUGUGAUCAUCGACAACCUGCAGUUCAUGAUGGGUCACGAGCAGCUGUCCACAGACAGGUGACGGUGACAUCCUCUCUUGUCUAGCUUGAGCCCGCUUGGACAUACAACACACACUUCUCAGGCAGCUGGCCUCUAGGCACACAUGCUGUGCUCUCCUAUUUUCUGAGAUGUGUGCAGGAUCGCAGCUCAAGACUACAUCAUCGGGGUCUUUCGGAAGUUUGCAACAGACAAUAACUGCCAUGUGACACUGGUCAUUCACCCCCGGAAAGAGGAUGAUGACAAGGAACUGCAGACAGCGUCCAUUUUUGGCUCAGCCAAAGCAAGCCAGGAAGCAGACAAUGUUCUGAUCCUGCAGGACAGGAAGCUGGUAACCGGGCCAGGGAAACGGUAUCUGCAGGUGUCCAAGAACCGCUUUGAUGGAGAUGUAGGUGUCUUCCCGCUUGAGUUCAACAAGAACUCCCUCACCUUCUCCAUUCCACCAAAGAACAAGGCCCGGCUCAAGAAGAUCAAGGAUGACACUGGACCAGUGGCCAAAAAGCCCUCUUCUGGCAAAAAGGGGGCUACGACACAGAACUCUGAGAUUUGCUCAGGCCAGGCCCCCACUCCCGACCAGCCAGACACCUCCAAGCGUUCAAAGUGAAGGCCGUGCAGAGCUGGUCACUGAAAUGAGCCUGAUAGGAUAGGCUGGAGCAUAAAACUCUGCAAGGGCUCCUCUAUCCUGUGGUCCUGAGCUGUGUGCCCUUCUCAGUCUGAGGGGCCUAACCUAGAGCAGGUUUCCAUAGUGAGAAAAUUCAAUGUAGCAGACUACUGAGAAACUACUGUGUUGCUCAGGCUUUGUUUGAGGUCCUGUAUAUACAGCACUGAAAAGAGAGAUAAAGUCCCUGCCUGCAUGCAUUCUGGCGGAAGAGACAAGCAAGCAAUGAACAAAUUAGCAGAAAACCUAGUUUUAGUGAAAAAUGCUGUAAAGAAAAUAGAAAUGCGAUAGAGUGCUGGCAGGCUAGUGUAGAUAAGUGGUCUGAAAAGGUGUCUCUGAGCCGAGGGCAUGUGAGCUGGGGCCUAAACAACUAGAAGGAGAGAGCCACGUGAACAUCCGGCGAAGGGGACCCAGGCAGAGAGAAAAGGAAAUCCAAGCCCUGAGGUAGGAAUGAGCAGGUCAGAUUCAAGGCAGUGAGGUCAGGCCGCAUGAACCUGGAGGGGAAUCGGGGACUUCAUGCGAAACUCCAGCCUAGGCUUUCAAAGUCAAAGGGUGAUACAGUGGGUACCAAGCUCCUCUGCUCCCCACUUUGUAGAGCCUAGCAUGAGGUGGCAUGUACUAGAAUUGGAUCCUAGGUGCUUAGCCCUGCAAUAUCAGGGCCUCACUGGUGGGAGCUGCCUCGGGCUGGGUUGCUUGGUCAUAGAGCCAUAGAAGGAAGCUGUCAGCCCGGAGUGCCUGCCACCUAGACACUGAUGCCAUUGUGUGCUGCCUCAAGACUGCUGGAGUCAGGACAUUUUAUAGAGCCUUUUCCAGUUUUACUAAAAAAUUUUUCCAUUGCC